This 4812-nucleotide long non-coding RNA is filed under the name Canis lupus familiaris (dog). RNAcentral describes it as "lncRNA (ENSCAFG00000055036.1)". Lineage: Eukaryota; Metazoa; Chordata; Mammalia; Carnivora; Canidae. The record is from RNAcentral.
UUCUGUUUCAGGAUCCCAACCAGGAUAACACAUGACAUUUAGUCAUUAUGUCCCUUACGAUUCCUCUUGGCUGUGACAGUUUCUCAGACAUUCUUUAUUGUUGAUGACUUGGACAGUUUUGAGGAGUACUAGUCAAGUAUUUUACAAAAUGUUUCUCAACUGGGAUUUUACUGAUGUUUGCUCAUGAUUAGAUUGCGGUAAUGUGCCAAAGAGAUAAAGUGCCAUUUCUAUGACAUCAUAUCAAGGGCACAUACUAUCACAUGACUUAUCACUGCUGAUGUUAACCUUCAUCACCUGGAUAAGGUAUCAACUGCCAGGUUUGUCCACUGCAAAGCUACUCAUUCCCUCUCCCUUUCCAUACUGCUCCUUGGAAGGACUUCACUAUGCACAGCCACACUUAAGGAAUGGGGGUAUAUUUAACCUCCAAGAAUUGCUCAAAGAGGUGGGCGACUUGAGUUUAUUAUGUUUAUGAUGAUUUUUUAUGAUGAUCCUAAUCACUAAAGUUCCAGAUUCCCUUCAUUAAAACUAUGGGAGAACCAAGUGAAGAACCAAGAUAGUCAAUAAGUGAUGUUGAUUGACUAUCGAUAAUUCAGUAACUUUAAGUUCACAAAGAAUUUCAGAACAAAUAAUGAUUGGGAUUCUUUGCAAACACUUGGAAAGUUCUCAGCACCCAGUAAUUGCCAUAAAACAUUCAGUUUUCAUCACUUUUUGUACAUAUUAUAAUACUUUUGGACUCUAUUUCAAAAAUUAAAAUUCAAAAUAUUCAGGAGGAGGGGAUAAUAUCUUAAGCAUAUGCAGUUUUUGAAAAGCAGUUAAUUAGAAGUGAAAAGACAUUUUAAAGAUGACAAAUAUCCUAAAAGCAAGUAUUCUCAUUUUUUUUCUCCAUAUUAGAACAGCUUAUUUUGACUCUGAAUAUAGCUGGCAUAAUUAUGGCUAAACUCUUUCUUUUCUAAUUAGUUCUCUUUCCCUAGCUACUUCAUUCCUCCCCAUGUACAGAACUUUCUUAAAAGAUUGUUGGUGAUUAAGACCUUUACGUAUGACAGAACCAGUAUAUUCAUGGGCUUCCUCUCUGUUCAUUCCAAGUGCCAAUUUUCACACUUUGUUCCUUUGUGCCUAAAGUAUUCUAAAUGUAAUUGCCUGAGAUAUGGUUUGGGAGACUGCAGUUGUCUAACUUUUGCCAUUAGGAACUAUAAAAACAGAGCAAGCUGAAGCUUUCUUUCUUCUAAAAACUCACAUAGUCAGAUAGGUGUUUAAAUUUUUGUCAAACCCUCCCACUUACAAUUUCAUCUUUGGGUUCAGCCUCACCAUGACUCAGAAAAGUUGUAACUUUCUGUCUGGGCCAAGAUUCAGUUACUCGGCGUCUUAAAGAAUUCUACUUACCAGAUGGUAAAGAAAAAUAGGUCACUGUUUCUGAUUGAGUACUAGUUGGAAGACCCAAAGGGAAGAUCUGACAGGAAUUAAUGUCUUUUCCAAGAAUCCUGUAGCCAGCCAGAGAUAGAGCUGACUCAUCAGUGGCAUCAGAACACAGGUAUCUCAACAUGAAAGGGCUCCUCCUGAGGCCUUACCCAACAAAACCUCUUAUGGAUAUACAGUGAGCCAAAGGAGAGUAUUUACUCCUUCAUGUCUAGGUUAUAAUCCUUUCAGUGAUUAUCCAAUACAGAGAGAAGCUAAAGAAAAUAGGGUAUCAAGAGGCCAUCUCCUUCUAUCUGCAGUCUUUUCAUUCUGCAUUUCUGCUGCCAUCCAAGUGACACUAAGAUUCACUAAUAUUGUGAUGCCCUCAAAGUGUACAACAAGGAAGGAAACUAUGAAGCAGGCCUGACCUCCUGGCUUGACCUCCACACACAUCUUUCUGUACCCAGAGGAGAGCUUUACACUGUAGCCCAGCUCCCAAAAGAAGUUAUGAUGUUAAGGCUCGAAGCCUAACUUCAUUUAAAAACAAAAUAUACAAGAAUCUACCAGCUCAUUUUGUAGGUUAAAAGUGGUCCAACCUUAUAAUUAUUGUCACCAAUGCAAUUGAAGGCAUGUGAAAAUCUAAAAUGGGAGGAGAAUAUUGGUGUGCAGGAAGUUUCAGCAUUUGUUAUUUUUAUGGAACGGGGAAGAAUUUUUUUCUUUUUUAGGUUACGCUUCACAGAAAAAAUUUCUCUCUUCCCAGCACAAAGCCUGCAUUUGUAAACUCUUUCAACGACUGAAACGCAAUUCGCAUUCACAGACACACCACGCCCAAACACAUACGAUGCACCCCCACACACCUGCAGUUCUUAAGCGAAGACCUAUAUAUUCCAUCUGUGCACUAAGAACUCGAACUGGUUUUCAGAAUAUAUUAGAAACAUGUAAACCUCUUUUAAAAAUAUGAUUGAUGAAGACUCCAUGGAAAAUCUGAACUUUGGACAAAUGCAGUAAGAUGUCCUGAGAAUCUUUUGCAGUACUUAUUAAAAGCCUCAGCCAGCGGAAACAACCAGAGCAUGCAGAGCUUGUGGGGGCAUGAGUGUGAGGGACGUAGUAAAGUGGCGUGAGCAAUGCCAAACUGAUGGUGGAAAAGGGGACGGCAGGCCAAAUCAGUCAUAUUUUUUCCUUUGAUUAGUCUUGGCUAUUGGUCUCACCAAUUGCUUUUUGAGAAGUUAUUGGGAGUGAAGAUAUGACCUGUAUAGAAUAUUUUUUAUAAAUUGUUGCCUGCAUUUUAUGCAAUAAACAAAUGAAGUCCUAGUGAAGAUACAGACAUCAGGUAACGCCAGUCAUUUUCAUCAAAGCUUUUACUGGUUGGAAAAGAUCUAUGGCUGUUUAUCUACACCACACGUUAGGAUUACCUACAUGUUGGAGUCAACAAGGUAUUAUUAACCCAUCUUUCCAGCCACAAAGAUAACUGGACUCAACUGGACAAUUGAAUAGAAAUGGCAGCCACCUUGAGUGUUGUGUUUCCUUUCCUGGAGAUGUGCAAGCCAAGUGAGGAAAUGGAAUAGAAUGUGCAAGACCAGGGUCGCUACCAACAGAUCAGGCUUUUACAGCCCCCCCAGGUGGGCAGAGGCAUGUGGUGGAGGAAAAUAUAGACCCAGAUUGCACUUGCCACAGCCAUCUCCCAGAAACCCAAGUGAGUUUCUCCACCAGAGGCAGUGCAGACAGGAGGGGGCAUUGCAGCUCUGUAGAAUACACUACGGAUUGUUUGGGGUUUUGUUUUUGUUUUUAAUUUAGGGGUACUGAACUAUCACCAACUGCAAAUUCGAGAAGGUCCGUAGUUUAAGUCCAGCCAUAACUAAAAUAUGAAACUCUAUAUGCUAUAGGAUGAAGUUAGUGAAAGCAGAGGUGAUUCAAGAGCUAUAUGGUCAAGAAACCUUUCUCUUCAAAGAUUUAAGAUCGCAGCCAACAGACCUCUGGUGACUUAAAUUGGAUUUGGAAGUAUACAAACCCCACCCUUCCUGGGUACGUGGUACCACUGUUAACUCUCUGAAAAGUAAAGGCAAAGUUUCUGCCUUGGGCAAUUUGAAACCAUAACGAUUUCAUUUUAUUCCUUCUGGAUAUUACUCAUUGGGGUGAGAGUCACAGGCAAGGAGAACAAGAGAAAAAUAUCCUGAGACAGGCAGUUUCAAUGAUGUGGUUGCAACAAUGAACAUUCCAGAGAUCUCAUGGCAAGUCCUAUUACUGUGAUACUUCCUGCCCAAUAAGAAGUUUGGAAAGUCAAUAUGCGCACCCAGACUAUUGGCUGCGAAACUCAACGAAGGUUCCUCGAUCUUUCUCUGACCCUCCGUCGAGCAGUUUAAUCAAAAGUAUCAGAACAGACAGCUGUGGUUCCCUUUUCAUUCUGAAAAUAAUGAGCACAAGAGUCGGUGAGCUUCUCCCACAGACACCUCCUCCAUUGAUGGCAUCUCCUUCCAGCUGCUUCUAACAAUUUGAAAUUGAUUGGACCUGCAGCCUUUGAAGGAUAAUAGCCCCUCUUAACAUUUUGAGAGGUGCACAACUUGAAAUGGCUCAUGGUAUUUCAUUUCAGGGUCUCACACUGCUCUUCGUUUAACCAUCCAGGAAACAUAAACAGGACAUUGCUUCACACCCCUGAGAGCUUGUAAUGUUCACUUGUUUGCAUGACACUCACCGAGUAGCCUAAUUAAUUAUCUGUGGGCAGCAGAUCACAUGUGGUCGCAUUAGUUAGUUAAGUAUGCAUGGUCUUUAUCAAUUUACACAUGUGAUUUUUUUUGGGGGAGGUAGCAGUUAAGGUAGUUACCUUGCCCUUCAAUAUUUGAAUAUGUAGUAUUUAUGUUGUAUUUGCUAAAAUUUCACAAUCUCCAUAAGCAAAGAUAAACAUAAAAUGUGGUAUCCGAAGAACAAUUUAAAUCAAAUCAUGCCCUAAUUAUAACAAAUUUCUGAAAGGCAAAUAGUAUUAGAUCAGAAUUUUUCAAAGGCAGUAUCAGGAUCCAUGUUCAUCAUUCAGACUUCUGAAAUCAUUAGCGGUUCUUACAUGGCCACCUGCCAAGGAAUAUAUUUUGUUCAUUACAAAUUCUCUGACAAAGUUUCCUAAGCACCACCUAUGCUCUGAGAAUAUUUAAUAUAAGGAUUCAGUUCAUGAAGCAUCACUAUAGUGCUCAGUCGGCUAUCUCUCUUACUACCUUGUAUUUCUUUCUGACUACAUCUCAAAGCCUGACUGGUUAAAUGUUUUUAAAGUCACCCCAAAUAGAUUCUUUAGUAUUAGAGUCCAUAGUUAGGGAACCCAGGGUGCAGAUGCACAAAGAAACAAGUGGAAAAAAAAAAAAGAAAGAAAGAAAAAAAAUUAAAAAAAAAGAAAGAAAAAAAUUUUUUAAAAAAGAAAGAAAAAAAUUAAAAAAAAAA